Molecule: long non-coding RNA, 1031 nt
Organism: Mytilus californianus (California mussel)
Lineage: Eukaryota; Metazoa; Mollusca; Bivalvia; Mytilida; Mytilidae
Exons: 3
Source: RefSeq, a predicted model, not a curated record
CCCUUCACCAAUGGUGCACCUUUGACUAACGAUGACCGAAAAAAAUGAAAAAGACCUAUUCGAUAAAAUUAAAACUAAAAAGUGGGAAAUGCAAAAACUACCAGCAGGAAGCAGCUUAGGGUGUUUAUUUUCUUGGAUUGGGACUAAAGGAGAUUAUGAAGGAGCCCAAAGAAAAGCAUUAACAACGAAGGGUUGGAGAAGAUACACAAGUACAUUUACAAAUGAAGGGAAACUUAUGUUAGCCCGUGCUUCAGUGUUGAUGUGGGGUGGAAUUGCUGCAUAUGUUGCCUACAGAUUUCUGAGAUCAGAAAAGAAAACCAAAUUUGAGAAUGAAACAGUUGCAUAGGAUUUUUGAAGAUUUUUUAGAAACAUAUUUAUGAUUUAGAGUCAGUCAGGGGUAGUAGUUAUACCCCAAAAGAAUCUUUAUUGGUACGGUUAAAAAGUUUUGUAGAUUUUCCGCUUUAUAGUAAUUCAAAAUUUUUUGGAGUUAUUCUCCCUUAUGGUAAUUCAAAAUUUUAAUACUUGGUGUAAGAUGUUUAUAUUUUCUUCUUUUCUUGAAUUUCUCUAAACUGAGGGUGUGGAUGGGGGUUUACAGAAUAGAGAAUAAUGGUCAAAAAAUAUAAAGAAUAGAGAAAAAUGGACCAAGGAAAUAUAUAAUAGAGUAUAAUGAGGUGCUAAAAUAUGAAGAAUAGAAAGAAAUGGGCAAAAAGUAUAAAAAAAGAGAAAAAUGGCCUAAAAAAUUAAAGAAUACAGAAAUGAAGGACCCCCAUCCAGACCCUCUUAAUUUCAUUGCAUUUAUAGAGUAUUUGAUUGUUGAUCUUUAAAAGCUAAUUGUUUGUUAUUUUAAAAAUUCUGCAUACAUGUAUGUACAGGCCUUUAAGACCAAUUUUUGAAGGAUUUUGUCAGUAACUUAAUAUCUGUAGGUAGUUCAUGUGAUAACAGGUUGAGCUUUCAUCCAAAAAAGUUUUUGCCAACCAGAACAAUAAGUUGGAUGCAUGUUUUGUUUUAAAAAAAUUAAGAAUUUAUGGCGU